AUGAGCUCCUCUUCGGGGGAACUCCGUCCGGAGAUGAUGGAGAGCGAGACGCCUCCAUCUGCCGCACCAUCGGAUAGGGCGGACGAGCCUGAAGUGUCAUCGCGGAGGGUAUCUCCGAGUCCAGCAGGGCCGAAUAGUUCGGCACCAACUGGUGUGCGGCCGGGGGAGCUGAAGGAUCUGCUUGAGAGGGCGUCCAUCUCAGAAGGUCACCGUCCACUGAUGAAUACGGUGAUUGAAAGAAUUUCAUCCGCCGAAGGCGGAUUGCGUGAUGCCGUCAGGAGUUUGCUGGCGGGGUUUGAGGUGGCGGAUAGUUCGGUGGCUAGCCGGAUUGAUGGAGUUGCCGAACUAAAGCGGCAGCUCGACGUUGCGUAUGCGGACAUCGCGCUGGUCAAUAAACAACUUGACGAGUCGCAAGAUGGUGCCGCUGCUGUGGAGAGCCUUCGGGCAGAACUUGCUCAAGCCAAGGAGCAAGCCAGAAGGAGUGAUGCGGCUGCCUCGAGGGCGGCCGAAGAGCUAAAGGCCGAAAGGGCUGCACCCUGCCGAAGCAGGGAGGAGAUGGCCGAAAUGGCCGUGAAGUUAAAAGAUGCUACCGGCCGCAAUGAGGUUCUUGAAAAGGAGCGCCUAGCGGAGCGAGGGGACCUGGGGAAGGCCACCGCCGAAGCCAAGGAUGCCCGUUCUGCAAUGCGGGCUAUAAAGGAGGAGUUGCGCCAGGCCGGAGACAUUGUGGCUGGCAAGCCCUUUCUGCUGCGCCGAAGGUUUACAGAUCCAAAGUAUGCUCAGCUUGGCCAGCUGUGGGGUCCGGAGGAUCCUUAUAUGGACUUAGCGGCGAGUGCGGCAGAUGUCGUUGUGCACUUCCGAAGUCAGAAGGAUCACAAGACGGAAGAGCUGUUUUGGUCUCAAUUCCAUAGUCCGGAGCGUUCACUUCCGCUGACCGAUCGGCUGGCCGAGUGGGCUGAGCUGAAUAGAUUGUCCGGACUUGCCAUGACGGAUAUCGUGACUCAUGUCUGGCCGGAUAGGCCCAAGCCGAAGAGUUAUUUUGGCUUAUUGCAGCAAUUUCUUGGGGCGGUGCCGCAUAUCAAGGCGAUGAAGCGGUCGACAUGCAUAGAGGGUGCACGGAUGGCCCUCGCCCGUGUGAAGACACAUUGGACAGAGAUGGAUGCCAUUGCUGUUGCGACCCAGGGUUCGGACGAGAGCCGGUUACCCGCCGAGCACUAUUUUGGGGAAGUUCUGCGUGGUGCUCGUGUAAUAGAGUCGCAGUGCUCAAAAAAUGUCACGUUCAAAUGA
Molecule: ribosomal RNA, 1284 nt
Filed under: Triticum aestivum (bread wheat)
Lineage: Eukaryota; Viridiplantae; Streptophyta; Magnoliopsida; Poales; Poaceae
Description: partial small subunit ribosomal RNA
Source: RNAcentral